CUUGGGGUUGGGGAGGUACUGCAAGUGGGCUGUGAGAAGAUAGUAAUAGAAUGAAAUGGUAUUUAUUUGAGUUUUACUAUGUGCUGUCUUUGAGUUGCUUUACAGAUUCUGUUUUUACAGAUUUUUUACAGAUUCUGUCAAUUAAGUACUGCAUUGUUGAAUUUUCCAGUUUGUGAUAUGAAUAUAUGCUUGGAAAUACAUUUAUCUGUCUCUCAAGUGUCAGAGUCAUGUAAUGAGAGGUUUGGCGGUCCUGGGAAUAUUUUAGAUAUCAAACUUGAGUGCAGAAUUCUUAAGUGUGGCAAUGGCCAUCCUGAUCCAAAUUAUAAACCACAGCAUUUCAGCUAAUUGGCAUUUUGGCUACAUGCUCACUGAAGUUAACACAUCUUUCAUGUGAAACUGUGUCAACUGGUUUCAUUCUCUGUGACUGCCAAAACUUUGAAAAAACACUGGCUUAAACUAAGGUGUUCCAAAAAUAACAGUCAAGACUCUUACCUGCAAAGCUGAAAUAAAUCUAACUAACACAGAUCUUGGCAAAAGAAAAUUUUCAACAACACAUUUGAAUUUUUUUUGUUUUGUUUGCAAGACAUUUAACACCGUGUUGAUAAACAAAUAAUUCCUCUGUGUAUCUUCUUGUAUUCCUCCUGCUACGUUCUUUUCUUCCCUGGUGCGUAUGAAGACAUGUUCACAACAUGACCUGGGGGACUGAUGCGAUUAGUUCACAUGCAGGCCCAAUCCCAAACUGCUGCCUACACACUCACCCUUCACUACCGAGUGUCACUUGUAAUGAAGUUACACUUGCAGCUGUGGAGUGCGCCUCAUUUGAAAUGGGAGAGUAUAAAGAGACCGGUAGGUAUGGGACACCCUUCUCACUCCACCAGAAAACGCAAAGAUUCAUCACCAUAGCAGCAUAAAGACGCGUCCUGUGCAUGGUAGCGUUUCUUUUCUAAGUAAACGGGCAUCAUGUACAGUUCUGAGCCGCACCUGCUGCCUUGUUUUUUCAUUGUCCAAGUGAAAUCAUAAAUCCAGCAACCAUCACAGUGACAGGAGCUAAAUUAUACUUCUGAUUUUCAAUGAUUCUACACGUCUUUGAACCCCUUAACUAUUUGACAUGUGCCUGAUCAAUCAAAUGCGUAGUUGUGUGUAUGCGUUUGGGUGUGUUCAUGUUGCAACAAGUCAACUGCACUGAGCUCUAUGGCCUGUUUUAAUUCACCUUCUCUUUUGAAUAAGUGCGAGGUGGCCAUCCAAAACCCUAGUGGUGGGUUUUUCUCACAGAUUCUCAGAGUGUCUGUAGUGCCACAGGUGUUUUACUUAGUUCCACCACCCAUGAUUUUGGUUUUCUUGGGCCGCCACAGUAAACUCCAGCUCUAUACAAGUGUUUUUUUUUUGCCAUUUGGCCAUAGUGGAAUUAUUAAGAGUUGCAGUUGAUUUUGAUCUUUUAAUUUUACUGAUCAUUUGUUUAAAAAAAAAAAAAAAAAAAAGACGUUUUUUUAAAAAUGGAUUUUGUACAAACCGUCUCUCGCCCUGUGGUUAUUUCAAACCCGGUGUGUUCUUUCCAUUACAAUUGGUUUAAAUUUUCCUGGGCAUAACUCCCCAGAUGGUGUUAUUCGGCAUUAUAAUAACUUUUCAACCUUCCACUUGCUACAUGUUCAUAUUAAAAACAGUCUCUCCAGCCGCUCCCAAAUCUUUGAAAAGUUUUCUCCCUUGAGAUGCAUAACUAGUGCAUUGUAAAAUUACAUGUGUCACAGUCUCUGACCCUCCACACUCCAACCCUCCUUAUUUCCAACAACAUCCCCCCACUUCCACCGAUUAGGUUGACACUAGAGUGGUUGGAAAUGGUACAUUACAUACUCUUAAGAAUUUUAAUUCCACAAUAUCCCGUACUUUCAGAGUACACUCAUCUACACAAGACUGAAUCAUUGCUCUGCAAAUUAUCAACAAGAUUUCUCUGUCAGCCCCCAGAUCAUUUCCUGCCAGACACCUUAAAACAUUACUUUUUCAAAUUUCACCACCAUUUUCUCUAUAUGUUUUCAGUGUCACUCUGAGAUAUUUAUAACCCCAAAUUCUUUCUAGAGCAUGACCACUGACCAUCAAACCUUUAUCUGGCUUUUUUGAUGGCAUUGGCAUUUGAUACUUUAGACCGCCGUCUGCUUUUAAGUGUUCUUCAACAUAUUGGCCUAUCAAACCAAGCAGCAUCUUGCGCCAAGAUGGCUGGUUCUACUACCUUUCAGGAGGUUUUUAAAGGCGGGCCUCAAGGCUCCAUCUUGGGACCUAGCUUAUUCUUGGUCUAUUAACAAAAUUUAAUCGAGAGCUUAUUGCAUUCACCAAAGUAAACUAAAUCUGCUCUGUUUUUUUCCCCGUUAACAAAAUAAUCAUACUGUUAUAAUUAUACUGUGUUGCCUUGAUUUGUUGUUGUUUUUUUAAUCGAAAUUUUUUUUUUGCUGUUUCUUGUUGCUGGUGUGCAAUUUAAAAAUGAACAAAAUAAAUAAGGGGGAAAGAGCAUGUUUUUUCCAUCCAUAACACCUUCUGAUGACUGAGAUAAUUAUCUCGCCAAUUCAGAAGUACAGAGCAGAUUUUUUUUUAUAUCAAAUAUCAUUUUUGAAAUUUUUUGAGAAUCUUCCAAAAAUAUAACCAAAGCUGUUCUUAAACUGCUUUUGUAUUUGGUGAAAUAUCUGUGCAUCUCAUUCAGUAUUGUUACACAAAGAGAAAUGUUUUUCCAUCAUAACGCGCUGGUGCAUUUCACCUUCGGGGCCACCGGACAGAGCAGAAAGAAGAAUUAGUUUAAGAUGCUCUACAAUGCUCAUUGAGGUACCUUUUAAUUAUACCCAUGCAAACAAACUAACCCCAGCCUGUAGGAAACAUAUACUAAAAGUAUGUCAUGACCUGGCUUAAAGAGCAUGACAAAAAUAACAAAUGACAUAGAGGACAAAAAAUAUCAUAAUUUACAAAAAGUAAUGUUUUUAAAUCAACACAAACAUGUAUCUGUGGCAUGUGUAAAGUGUGUGUUUGUGUGUGUGUGUGCAUGUGUCAAAAUCUAAAUCAGCCUGUGCAGAGAUGAUCUAGAGAGAGAGGGAGAAACAGGAAACUAAGGUGUUUAAAUCCUGGGUGGGGCUGUGGGCCCAAGUGCUCCAGAUCUACGCAGCUAAUUAGUGCCUCAUCACCUCGAAAGAGAGAAAUGCAGUUAGUAAUACCAGUCCUCUCUGAACAGGGUCGUCACAAGUAGUUAAUUAUUCCCCUCUUAAAGAACUGACUGAGGUCUUUCCCUGCAGUUAAUUGGUGUUGAAUAUUAACAGACCUCUUCUUGAUAAGUGUUGUAACACUUUCAAAUCCCAACCCCCCAAAAGAAUGUAAGGCUAACAUCUGCUCACCGGAGACAAGAUGGUGUAAACCUUUAACACUAAAUCAUAGUCCCUCUACAACCUCCUGUCUCUAUACAAGAUAACCAAAGAAGCCUUUCCAAAACACAAACUGUCUAUCCUUUCUACUUCAAAGAGACAAAGACAUUGUUUAUGGCCUGCAGGAAAGAACUUCAGGACCACUCGAUCAGAUAAACGUCUGUCAUCACACCUUGAAUGGGAAGCCUCAGGUUUAUCAGCUCAGCCAUAAAUCCUACAUUUGGUUUAUCUUUCCUGUUCUCUCUGUGAGUACAAUCCAAAGAGAAUAACUACAACUAGUCUAAUUACAGGUUGCUUGGACACUACACCAUAAUUUUCUGUCAGUACUCAACAUGUGCAGUAAAACAGUCUUUGUCCCAUCUUCCUAUCAUGUUCAUAAGCCAAGAUCCCACACUGACAGAAUAAAUCCUUCAGUCUUAAAGUUUCUUGAGCUUAACAGCUUUCCAAACUGUUUCAUGAACUUUUCAGAGCUGAUAAGAUUUUAUGUCUGAAUUACAACACUAUUCUAGUAGGAAUAGUGUAGAAAUGUUUAGUUUAUCUCUUAAUCAUUUGUUUAGCUUGGUUUACCAGUAGGUAGUUAUACUGUUAGUUAAUAAUCUGAAUGUUGGUUCGUAGAAUCCAUUAUUAACUGUUAUGAAAUUCAUUCACAUGUGUUUACCCUUGUGUUAUUCACAGUUUCUAUGUGUUACUAUCUGAUUCAUUUCAGAGUACUUUAACAUGAUCAAUGUUCUUUGAAAAGUGAUACUCAAAGCAUAAUGAGAAUGUUCGUUAAUGAGAUUCUACAAUUCUUUAUAUGUGUUUAGCAUCAAAUCCUUUAUUAUGAACUAAGCAUUCUUUAACAUUUAUGAUCAAAUCAAAUCAAAAUAAAUUUUUAUUUAUAUAGCGCCAAUUCACAACAGUCGUCAUCUAAAGACGCUUUUCAAAGAACAAGAGCAGCUCUAGACCACGCUCAUUGUUUGAUGAUCGAGAACCAACCUAAGAUGGGUUUUGGCCCAUCUCAACUAACAUGAGUAGCAGUGGCAAGAAAAACUUCCUUUUAACAGGCAGAAACCUUGGGCAGGACCAGCCUCAUGUUAGACAGCCACCAUGCCACUGCUGGGUUGGGGAGGAAUGUAGAGAGAUGGAGGGAGAGAGAGGGAGAGAGAGAGACAAGAUAAGGGGAAGGAGAGAGAGAAUGAGUAAGGAGAGUGAGGGGGAGAGAGUAAGGAACAAGGGUGAGAGAGAGACAGGGGACAGCAGCAACAACAGCAACAACA
Xyrichtys novacula (pearly razorfish) is the source of this 4648-nucleotide non-coding RNA. Lineage: Eukaryota; Metazoa; Chordata; Actinopteri; Labriformes; Labridae. The record is from the annotation of a GenBank genome assembly.